This 510-nucleotide ribosomal RNA is filed under the name uncultured bacterium. Its description in RNAcentral is "bacterial SSU rRNA". It matches the Rfam family "Bacterial small subunit ribosomal RNA", at positions 1 to 501 of the family's 1533-position model. The record is from RNAcentral.
GCCCUUAGAGUUUGAUCCUGGCGCAGAUUGAACGCUGGCGGCAGGCCUAACACAUGCAAGUCGAACGGUAACAGGAAGCAGCUUGCUGCUUCGCUGACGAGUGGGGGACGGGUGAGUAAUGUCUGGGAAACUGCCUGAUGGAGGGGGAUAACUACUGGAAACGGUAGCUAAUACCGCAUAACGUCGCAAGACCAAAGAGGGGGACCUUCGGGCCUCUUACCAUCGGAUGUGCCCAGAUGGGAUUAGCUAGUAGGUGGGGUGUCGGCUCACCUAGGCGACGAUCCCUAGCUGGUCUGAGAGGAUGACCAGCCACACUGGAACUGAGACACGGUCCAGACUCCUACGGGAGGCAGCAGUGGGGAAUAUUGCACAAUGGGCGCAAGCCUGAUGCAGCCAUGCCGCGUGUAUGAAGAAGGCCUUCGGGUUGUAAAGUACUUUCAGCGGGGAGGAAGGCGAUAAGGUUAAUAACCUUGUCGAUUGACGUACGCCGCAGAAGAAGCACCGGCAACU